Betta splendens (Siamese fighting fish) is the source of this 1439-nucleotide long non-coding RNA. RefSeq lists it as uncharacterized. The transcript has 2 exons. NCBI's taxonomy places the organism in Eukaryota, Metazoa, Chordata, Actinopteri, Anabantiformes, Osphronemidae. The record is from RefSeq and is a predicted model, not a curated record.
CAUUUCAAUUGGUUGAAAAAAAAAGGAAAGAAAUCUUCUGUUUGGUUGAAACACUAAAUUUGAUUAGGAAAAUUAAUUAGAUCGAGAAAAAAAAAUCCCAAUAUUACAUGUUCUUAAUUAGGUGAAAGUCUGCUCUGGGUGGUGAGACGUCGGUUGCUAAGGGUUGGCUCGUGGAACCGAGCUUCCGUCUGUACUGAGGAUACAGACAUGUUUUUUUGAUCUGUGCGUGGUCCACAUGUGGGGGACUGAGUAUAAAAGACGGCUUCUGAAAGAGGGAGCGCGUUCGCAGAGUGAAGUAUUUUCAAGAUACGAGGGACCCGGGCCUAGAGGGGCCUAACGUUGAGGAAAUACUUCGUGAAAGGCUCUGUCGCCAGAUCAGGUUGGUUCCCUUUUUACGGAGACGUCCGAUAAAAAGGCAUUUUGGGAAGGUUCCGGCCGGAACACACAAAAAAUCUAAGGCAGGAAACCGCCGGACUCUGAAAGACGGGUUCGGGGCAAUUUGAGUCUUCACCACCAGACAGCAACCGUACAAAACUAAAGAACUGAGCGCGAUGAGGGUAAAUCCGGAUCUGGACUCCUUUCCCACCAUCAGCAGAAGAACCGAAGGAGAAGAAGCGCCUGUCCAACAACCAGAACAGGGUGGAAGCUCUGACACCACAGCAGCUGGAGGACACAGACCACAGCAUGGAGGCCUCACAGACUCCCACAACGUCUGCAGCCGUCACGUUCUGGGCUCAUCAGAUGAACCAGCUACUACAGACCCUGCACCAGCAUGAAAGGACUGUGUCUGAAGCUUCUGAAGCCGUGAAACUGUCAUACACGCGUGUGUGUCUGACAGACACCUGCUUAUGACAAUCAGCAAAGGAAAACAAGGACAGAGCAACAGCAGAGAAGACGUGCUCUAACAGAGACACUGGUUGAAACAACAGGAGAGGCUUCAGACGUGAUCGGCCCAAAAGAGCUGCAUGCAAGGAUCCAGGAAAGGUCUGUCAUCGAGGAACAACUGUCCCAUCGAAAGGCUUCACCCACUGGCGCUCACAUCAGACUGAUGGUUGGGGAAGGAGGAAGGUGACGGUUCCUUUUCACGUGAUGUACAAGACGGUACCGCAAAAACACACACACAUUCAUACACGCAAUGAAGAAACACGCUUACAGCUGAUACACGCUCAAAUUCAUGUUCAUGCUUAUCUGCUCGCAAUGAAGAAUCGCUUUUUGCUUAAAAAAAUCCCACAGAGUGAUUUUAAAAUGAUGACAAACAGCUAAAUGACAACUGCUGCAUGACUUUACAGUCUGAUGGGUUUAAACUAUUUUAACUUGCAACAAAUUCAGUAAUAAAAUCCUUCAUGUUUCUAAAAAUACUUGUGCACAAUAUAGGUUUGUCUGGCCAGAAUAUAGAAAAACAAAAUCAGACUAUAGAAAAACAAAACAGACUAUAGGAA